This 952-nucleotide ribosomal RNA is filed under the name uncultured bacterium. Its description in RNAcentral is "bacterial SSU rRNA". It matches the Rfam family "Bacterial small subunit ribosomal RNA", at positions 1 to 971 of the family's 1533-position model. The record is from RNAcentral.
AGAGUUUGAUCCUGGUGGAACACGCUGGCGGCGUGUCUUAAGCAUGCAAGUCGAGCGGCAGGCGCAGCAAUGCGCUGAGAGCGGCGGACUGGUGAGUAACGCGUGGGUAAUCUACCUUUGGCAUGGGGAUAGCCACUAGAAAUAGUGGGUAAUACCGAAUACGUUCCCUGGGGGGAGAUUUCAGGGAAGAAAGGGUGCUACGGCACCGGCCGGAGAUGAGCUCGCGUCCCAUUAGCUAGUUGGUGAGGUAACGGCCCACCAAGGCGAUGAUGGGUAGCCGGCCUGAGAGGGUGUACGGCCACACUGGGACUGAGAUACGGCCCAGACUCCUACGGGUGGCAGCAGCUAAGAAUAUUCCGCAAUGGACGAAAGUCUGACGGAGCGACGCCGCGUGGAUGAUGAAGGCCGAAAGGUUGUAAAGUCCUUUUGCUGGGGAAGAAUAAGUGUGGGAGGGAAUGCCCGCAUGAUGACAUGAACCGGCGAAUAAGCCCCGGCCAACUACGUGCCAGCAGCCGCGGUAACACGUAGGGGGCGAGCGUUGUUCGGAAUUACUGGGCGUAAAGGGCAUGUAGGCGGUCUGGUAAGCCUGGCGUGAAAGGCCACAGCCCAACUGUGGGAUUGCGUUGGGAACUGCUGGGCUUGAGUUAUGGAGAGGGAGCUAGAAUUCCUGGUGUAGGGGUGAAAUCUGUAGAUAUCAGGAAGAAUACCGAUGGCGAAGGCAAGCUCCUGGCCGAUGACUGACGCUGAGUGCGAAAGUGUGGGGAUCAAUAGGAUUAGAUACCCUGUAGUCACACUGUAAACGAUGUGCACUAGUGCUGGGGCGGUAGCUUCAGUGCCCGGAGCGGACGUGUAGUGCAACGCUGAGAGUAUGCUCGCAAGGUGAAACUCAAGAUUGACGGGUCGACAGCGGUGGACCAUGUGGAUUUAAUUUCAGAUAGUGUGGUAAUAGACU